RNAcentral lists this ribosomal RNA (640 nucleotides) under uncultured bacterium. Its description in RNAcentral is "bacterial SSU rRNA". The stretch from base 1 to 534 matches the Rfam family "Bacterial small subunit ribosomal RNA", at positions 338 to 873 of the family's 1533-position model. The record is from RNAcentral.
CCUACGGGAGGCAGCAGUGAGGAAUAUUGCUCAAUGGACGAAAGUCUGAAGCAGCGACGCCGCGUGAGGGAUGAAGUCCGUUUGGAUGUAAACCUCUUUUGCAGAAGAAGAAUGUUUCGAUUUCUCGAAAUUGACGGUAUUUUGCGAAUAAGCACCGGCUAACUACGUGCCAGCAGUCGCGGUAAUACGUAGGGUGCGAGCGUUGUCCGGAAUUACUGGGUGUAAAGGGUCCGCAGGCGGGCGAGUAAGUCUGUGGUGAAAUCUUACGGCUUAACCGUAAAUUGCCACGGAAACUGCUUGCCUUGAGUGUGAAAGAGGAAGAUGGAAUUCAUGGUGUAGCAGUGAAAUGCGUAGAUAUCAUGAAGAACACCGGUAGCGAAGGCGAUCUUCUGGUUCACAACUGACGCUCAGGGACGAAAGCGUGGGGAGCAAACAGGAUUAGAUACCCUGGUAGUCCACGACCUAACCACUGAUACUCGAUGUCGGUAGUCGAAGAUUCGGUGUCUGAGCAACGACGAAUAAGUAGUCCCGACCGUCGGGGUAGGUACGGAGUCGUCGUAAGGUUAGUUAAACGUACGUUAAAGGUUAAAGUUAGUUACGGCGUUGAGACGUUGCCGACGGACGACGACGAGGGAGGAGG